CCUACGGGAGGCUGCAGUGAGGAAUAUUGGUCAAUGGACGAGAGUCUGACCCAGCCAAGUAGCGUGAAGGAUGACUGCCCUAUGGGUUGUAAACUUCUUUUAUAUGGGAAUAAAAUGUUCCACGUGUGGGAUUUUGUAUGUACCAUAUGAAUAAGGAUCGGCUAACUCCGUGCCAGCAGCCGCGGUACUACGGAGGAGCCGAGCGUUAUCCGGAUUUAUGGGGUUUAAAGGGAGCGUAGAUGGGUUGUUAAGUCAGUUGUGAAAGCUUGCGGCUCAACCGGAAAAUAGCAAUUGAUACUGGCAGCCUUGAGUACAGUUGAGGUAGGUGGAAUUCGUGGUGUAGCGGUGAAAUGCGUAGAGAUCACGAAGAACUCCGAUGGCGAAGGCAGCCCACUAAACUGCCACUGACAUUGAUGUGCGAAAGUGUGGGGAUCAAACAGGAUUAGAUACCCUGGUAGUC
Molecule: ribosomal RNA, 460 nt
Filed under: uncultured bacterium
Lineage: Bacteria
Description: partial 16S ribosomal RNA
Rfam family: Bacterial small subunit ribosomal RNA
Source: RNAcentral